This 253-nucleotide ribosomal RNA is filed under the name uncultured bacterium. RNAcentral describes it as "partial 16S ribosomal RNA". It matches the Rfam family "Bacterial small subunit ribosomal RNA", at positions 524 to 776 of the family's 1533-position model. The record is from RNAcentral.
UACGUAGGGGGCAAGCGUUAUCCGGAUUUACUGGGUGUAAAGGGAGCGUAGACGGCAGAGCAAGUCCGGAGUGAAAGCCCGGGGCCCAACCCCGGGACUGCUCUGGAAACUGUUAAGCUGGAGUGCGGGAGGGGCAGGCGGAAUUCCUGGUGUAGCGGUGAAAUGCGUAGAUAUCAGGAGGAACACCGGCGGCGAAGGCGGCCUGCUGGACCGUGACUGACGUUGAGGCUCGAAAGCGUAGGGAGCAAACAGG